AGGAUGAACGCUGGCGGCGUGCCUAACACAUGUAAGUCGAACGUGAGGAUGCAGCAAUGUAUCUGAAAGUGGCGGACGGGUGAGUAACACGUAGGUAACCUGCCUCGAAGUGGGGGAUAACCAUUGGAAACGAUGGCUAAUACCGCAUGGUCUUGUAUAAGUGGGAGCUUAGACAAGUAAAGCCUUGGCGCUUCGAGAGGGGUCUGCGUCCGAUUAGCUAGUUGGUAGGGUAAAGGCCUACCAAGGCGAUGAUCGGUAGCUGGUCUGGGAGGACGAUCAGCCACACGGGAACUGAGAAACGGUCCCGACUCCUACGGGGGGCAGCAGUGAGGAAUAUUGCACAAUGGGCGCAAGCCUGAUGCAGCAACGCCGCGUGGAGGAUGAAGGUUUUCGGAUUGUAAACUCCUUUAUGAAGGAAAAGACGGAUGGUACCUCGUGAAUAAGUCACGGCUAACUACGUGCCAGCCGAGCCGC
This 474-nucleotide ribosomal RNA is filed under the name uncultured soil bacterium. Its description in RNAcentral is "bacterial SSU rRNA". It matches the Rfam family "Bacterial small subunit ribosomal RNA", at positions 26 to 518 of the family's 1533-position model. The record is from RNAcentral.